RNAcentral lists this ribosomal RNA (2183 nucleotides) under Eoacmaea pustulata. RNAcentral describes it as "partial 28S ribosomal RNA". It matches the Rfam family "Eukaryotic large subunit ribosomal RNA", at positions 56 to 1881 of the family's 3401-position model. The record is from RNAcentral. Lineage: Eukaryota; Metazoa; Mollusca; Gastropoda; Eoacmaeidae.
GAGAACCAACCGGGAUUCCCUCAGUAGCGGCGAGCGAAGCGGGAAAAGCCCAUCGCCGAAUCCCUCGCCGAACCUCGGCGGUCUGGGAACUGUGGCGUAAGGGUCCGACUCGUCGGGCGUCUGGCCGUCCGAACAAGUCCCGCGGGACAGGUGUGCUCCCAGAGUGGGUGUGAGGCCUUUAGUUCGGUCUGGGUCUUCUGCUCGACGCGGUCGGCACCCGAGAGUCGAGUUGCUUGGGAUCGCAGCUCAAAGCGGGUGGUAAGCUCCAUCUAAGGCUAAAUACUAGCACGAGUCCGAUAGCGAACAAGUACCGUGAGGGAAAGUUGAAAAGAACUUUGAAGAGAGAGUUCAAGAGACCGUGAAAGCGCCUACGGGCAAACGGGUGGAACCGCCGGUGCGACCAGCGGAAUCCAGCUCUUCGGGCAGGCGGCUCGCCGGUGGCGGUGUGGACUCGACCUUUUCGGAGGCAGGGCUCACCGUUCCGGUCUAUGGGCUCGUCCCCGUCGGCGUAUCUUCCGCUGUCUGUCGCGAGUCGCGACCGGCUCGGAGUGCUUCGUCUCGAUUGGCGUCAGGCGAGGGGCGUUCGCGCACCCGUCUUCGGACGGCCUGCGUCGGUCGAUAUCAAGACGAAUGUAGCUCCGGGCCGAGGAACGGGCCCCGUCCCCGCUCCCGACCCAGUCUCCCGGCGACGUCGCGACCGCCUUGACUGCCUCUCUGAGGCUUAACAGUGCAAGUGCGGGCGCUCGGUCGGCGUCGGCGAGGCGGCGGGCAUUGGGUGGACGGCUAAGAGGGUCCGCGGCUGGCCGUGGCGGCACUCUUCCCGACCCGUCUUGAAACACGGACCAAGGAGUCUAACGUGAGCGCGAGUCACAGGGAAAAACACUCCCUUGGGGCGCAGCGAAAGCGACGUGGUCCGAUCUUCGCUCGUUGAUGGGCGGAGCGCAGGACCGGCCCGUCGGGGGUUGUUACGGCCUCGGCGGAGCAAGAGCGCUCGCGUUGGGACCCGAAAGAUGGUGAACUAGGCCCGAGCGGGACGAAGCCGGGAGAAAUGCUGGUGGAGGUCCUAAGUGGUUCUGACGCGCAAAUCGAUCACGGAACUUGGGCGUAGGGGCGAAAGACUAAUCGAACCAUCUAGUAGCUGGUUCCCUCCGAAGUUUCCCCCAGGAUAGCUGGCGCUCGCCGAGACAGUUUCGUCCGGUAAAGCGAAUGAUUAGAGGAGUCCGUGCCGAAAUGGCGUGGAGCUAUUGUCAAACUUUGAACGGGCGAGGAGGGGUGCCUACCGCUCGAUCUGGGAGGCUCGGCCCCCGUCGAAAUGUACGAGUGCCAAGUGGGCCACUUUUGGUAAGCAGAACUGGCGCUGUGGGAUGAACCAAACGCCGGGUUAAGGCGCCCGAUCGUCACGCUCAGCAGAACCCACAAAAGGCGUCCAUCGGUACAGACAGCAGGACGGUGACCAUGGAAGUCGGUAUCCGCCAAGGAGUGUGUAACAACUCACCUGCCGAAUUGGUGGGCCCUGAAAAUGGAUGGCGCUGUAGCGUGCAGCCUACACCCGGCCGUCUCGGCCACCGUGUCCCUUCACCGGGAGACGCCGACCGAAGCUGAGACGAGUAGGAGGGUCGCCGCGGUCAGCGCUGAAGCCUUAGACGUGAGUCUGGGUGUAGCGGCCGCGGGUGCCGAUCUUGGUGGUAGUAGCAAAUAUUCGAGCGAGAACCUCGAAGGCCGAAGUGGAGAAGGGUUCCGCGUUGCUCCUUCGAUCGGCCGCGGGUUAGUCGGUCCUAAGGCCUGGGAGAAAUCCUACGGGAAGCGGGACGUUUUGUUUCUACAGAAUCCGUCUCACCCCAAUGCACGGGCCGAAAGGGAAACGGGUUAGGAUUCCCGUACCCGAAGGCGGAGCACAAGCGGUGACGCAAAGAAGGUCGGAUACGCCGUCGGGAGAGUCGAGAAGAGUUAACUUUUCUUUUUGAGGUGCGCUCGCUGACCCUGGAAGCGGUUCUGCCGGAGAUAGGGAGCGAGAGCAAUCAACUUUAUCCGCAAAGCCGGCUCCAGCGGGGGCCUGUUCGGCUACGACUCGACGGUCCUUGAAACUCCGACGGCUAAACUUUAUUUCUUUGGAAAUUGUAAAAUUUGAUCGCUCUCGCCUCGGGCCGUACCUCAAUCCGCCGCAGGUCUCCAAGGUCGCAGCC